GACGGGUAUCCGGCCUGAGAGGGUGAACGGACACACUGGAACUGAGACACGGUCCAGACUCCUACGGGAGGCAGCAGUAGGGAAUAUUGCUCAAUGGGGGAAACCCUGAAGCAGCAACGCCGCGUGGAGGAUGAAGGUUUUCGGAUUGUAAACUCCUUUUGUUAGAGAAGAUAAUGACGGUAUCUAACGAAUAAGCACCGGCUAACUCCGUGCCAGCAGCCGCGGUAAUACGGAGGGUGCAAGCGUUACUCGGAAUCACUGGGCGUAAAGAGCGCGUAGGCGGAAUAGCAAGUCAGAUGUGAAAUCCUAUGGCUUAACCAUAGAACUGCAUUUGAAACUGUUAUUCUA
This 348-nucleotide ribosomal RNA is filed under the name uncultured Helicobacter sp. Its description in RNAcentral is "bacterial SSU rRNA". It matches the Rfam family "Bacterial small subunit ribosomal RNA", at positions 278 to 643 of the family's 1533-position model. The record is from RNAcentral. Lineage: Bacteria; Pseudomonadati; Campylobacterota; Epsilonproteobacteria; Campylobacterales; Helicobacteraceae.